CAGACCAGAGUCAGAGAAGAUAAAACUACACUGAGUCAUCAGGAGAGGACAUGUCCCCUGAGUCCCCACAAAUCAGCAAUACAAAGUGUCCGGGGAUCACCCACGUAUACCCUGAUACUAAAUAUGAAUGAAACUGGUCAACUGGUUCUUGAGAUAUCACGCUAACAAGCAAAAACGGACAGAC
Thalassophryne amazonica is the source of this 184-nucleotide long non-coding RNA. RefSeq lists it as uncharacterized. The transcript is spliced from 3 exons. The record is from RefSeq and is a predicted model, not a curated record. NCBI's taxonomy places the organism in Eukaryota, Metazoa, Chordata, Actinopteri, Batrachoidiformes, Batrachoididae.